UCGAAAUAAUUAAUUGGUUUUCUUUAAUUCGCAAAUAAUAUGAGGCUUCUUGUUCUACUUUGUUUCAUCAUGUUGAUGUCAAGCAACUUAACAAAUGUCACAUCUCAAGUGAAUGGGGUUUCAUGGUCCCUGGAGAUCUCGAGUAAUCCGGGGAAUGGGAUCUUGAGCAAUCCGGGGAAUGAAGGUGGACAGGGACAAGGGACUCGACGGGUUCAUGAGGCACCGUCACCGGCGCCCCUACCUCCGUCCGACAUUUGAACACUUUACUUCGUCAUCUAAAUCUCUAUCUAGAAUAACAAUUACACUUGCUUGUAAAUGAUCUGUUUGUUCAAGCCAUAUAUGAGGCUACUUUUGGUGUUGUAAUUAAUUAUGUUGGUUCCAAAAAUAAAAAAGAUAUGUAGAUUCCACUA
Molecule: long non-coding RNA, 410 nt
Organism: Erigeron canadensis
Lineage: Eukaryota; Viridiplantae; Streptophyta; Magnoliopsida; Asterales; Asteraceae
Exons: 2
Source: RefSeq, a predicted model, not a curated record